This 885-nucleotide unclassified non-coding RNA is filed under the name Hevea brasiliensis (rubber tree). The record is from RNAcentral. Lineage: Eukaryota; Viridiplantae; Streptophyta; Magnoliopsida; Malpighiales; Euphorbiaceae.
CUUACUCAGUUCGCCAUAUCUCUAUUACAUUUCAACAUCAGAAAAUCAAAAUAAAAGCCCUACCCAAAAUUGUUACAAAGAAAUUGACAUAAUUUAAUAUUCACAGAUAACAAAACCAGAGAUGCUUUGACAUGGAAAAUAAACGAAAGGACCCAGAAAGAAAGGGGCGUUGUAGACAAGGAAAACCACAUUUUUUAGCCACUGUAGUUAAGUCCAACCAACAAGUUAUUUUUUGCAGUUGAACCAACAGAACACAAAAGUAAGAGCGUAUUUAACAGUAUCCAUGGGAUACAGAACCCUGCAUUAACAUAAUCACUUCUCCGCUAUCGCAUAUUUUCUUCCUUUUGGCUACAUGAAGAGAGCAUUAAAGCUUGAGCCUACAAUCUCUACCCAAACCAACACCUCAUCCACCUGAGAAGGUCCUGGCAAACACCUGAGAAUUUUAAUAAAAGCUUAAAUAACAAUAUUUCAUGGACACUAUGGUGCAGGAACAAGGCUUUCUGGUCAGGCAUGUCAACGGGAGGUUCACUAAUGGAUACAAGAAGAGGAAGCAGUCUGCAGCAAGAAUGAAACUCCCAUAUACAUGCUUAACUAAAGAGCCUUGCUCCUGCACCUUAGCGUCCAUAACACAAUAAUUUAGAUCCAUUCCUGGCCCUCAAAAACUAAAGCUCCAUUACUCCAAUGGAGCUUCACCACACAUUUGUCACAUACUGUAAAAGCACAAUCAAUAAAUAAUAGAAACUGCAGUGGCAAAUUGGUGAACCCACAAAAGGUACAUCCACACAACAUGUUCUGCAGCAUAAAAGUCUAUUCUUGAUCAUAUACCUGACUAUGUAGCCCACUAUCACUGACAUUUAUUAAUUGCAAAACACGAGCUGAAAGUUC